GACGUAGGGCGCGAGCGUUGUCCGGAUUUAUUGGGCGUAAAGAGCUCGUAGGCGGCUUGUCGCGUCGUCUGUGAAAUCCCGCGGCUCAACUGCGGGCUGGCAGUCGAUACGGGCAGGCUGGAGUUCGGUAGGGGAGACUGGAAUUCCUGGUGUAGCGGUGAAAUGCGCAGAUAUCAGGAGGAACACCGGUGGCGAAGGCGGGUCUCUGGGACGUGACUGACGCUGAGACGCGAAAGCGUGGGGAGCGAACAGG
RNAcentral lists this ribosomal RNA (253 nucleotides) under uncultured bacterium. RNAcentral's name for it is "partial 16S ribosomal RNA". It matches the Rfam family "Bacterial small subunit ribosomal RNA", at positions 524 to 776 of the family's 1533-position model. The record is from RNAcentral.